RNAcentral lists this non-coding RNA (29 nucleotides) under Homo sapiens (human). Lineage: Eukaryota; Metazoa; Chordata; Mammalia; Primates; Hominidae. The record is from RNAcentral.
UCUACUAUGCCUUAAACGUGCUGAUGGCC